This is a long non-coding RNA of Mirounga angustirostris (Northern elephant seal), 1361 nucleotides long. RefSeq lists it as uncharacterized. The record is from RefSeq and is a predicted model, not a curated record. The transcript has 3 exons. NCBI's taxonomy places the organism in Eukaryota, Metazoa, Chordata, Mammalia, Carnivora, Phocidae.
UCAGUUAGGCAUCUGACUCUUGAAUUUGGCUCAGGUCAUUAUCUUGGGUUCGUGGGAUAGAGGCCCACAUUGGGCUCGCCCACAGCAGGGAGUCUGCUUGUCCCUCUCCCUCUCCCCCUCCCCACCCCCACAUACACUCUCUCUCUCUAAAAAAUAAAUAAAUAAAAUCUUAAAAAAACCCAACAAGUGGGUCCCCCUGUGAGAAGUGGCAAUAAAUAAACCGAUGUGGGCAGAGUAGGCAGGCAACAGGAGUUGCCUGGAUUUUGUUCAUCAGAAAGAUGGGAAGCACCAAACAGAGGCCUGUGGGAAGGCAAUUCUUAAAAGAAGAAAUAGAUGCGGCCAAUAAACACAUGAAAAUAAAGUUCAAUCUUACUGGUAAUAUCAAAAUACAAAAGAAAGCAAUUUUCACCUAUUUUCAAAGAUUUAAAAAGACAUGAACACGUUGGGAAACUGGACGUCUCAUUCAUCAUUGGCAGAGUAUAAACUGUUUGAUCUUUUUUUUUUCCUUUUAAGAUUUUAUUUUUCAGUAAUCUCUACAUCCAACGUGGGGCUUGAACUCACAACCCCGAGAUCAGGAGUCACAUGUUUCCCCAACUGAGCCAGCCAGGCACCCCUAAACUGUUCUGGUCUUCCUGGAGGAUAAUUUGGUACGAGCCACUUACAGCUCGUACCACUCACAUAGGCUAUUCUGCCCCUUGGUGUAGUUACUCUGGUCAGAGCAUUUUUGGUUGUAAACAACAGAAACCAACUCAGACUAUCUCAAGAAGAAGAAAAAGAAGAAGGACAAGGAAGGGAGAAGAAGGAGGAGAAGGAGAAAGAAUGGUAGCAGGGAGGGUUUGCCUAAAAUCCUCUGGAUGGGCUGCACUUUCAUGGUCAAAGCUAGCCAGAAAGCAGAGGGCAAGGAAGCCUCUUGGGAUAGACCACUGGUAGCUCAGCCUCCUGAAUCUCAGAGCAGGGUGGAGACGGCUGGAGAGUGGAGCUGGAGAGGCCAGUGGAGAAUAUUCUGCAGACUUGUUCUGAAAAAUAACUCCCGGAGUCAAAGCUGUUAUAAGGUAAUGUUCUCAAGAUGGCUGGUUUAUGACCCCCUGUCUCUACUAACAAAUAAAACUAAAGCUGAUGUUCUGCUUCAAGAUGGGGUAUGUGAUAGUUAAUUUUAUGUGUCAACUUGAUUGAGCUAAGGGAUGAGCAGAUAGCUGGUAAAACACUUCUGUGUGUGUCUGUGAGGAUGUUUCUGGAAGAGAAUCAGUAGACUGAGUAAAGAAGAUCCACCCUCUAUUAUGUUGAGUGAAAUAAGUCAAAAAGAGAAAGACAUGUAUCAUAUGAUCUCACUGAUAUGAGGAAUUCUUAAUCGCAGGAAUCAA